CUCAGGAGCUUGUAUCUGCUGUCCACUCUGAUGCCUAUAUUCUUGCUCCUUUUUGAAAAAUGGUUCUUCAUUCCAAACUUCAUCUAAGAUGCUUUCCUGGGUGUCCCAUUCCACAUCAUUCACUACUUACUGGAUGAGUCAUAUACCGAAGUGUAACACAUUCCCACAAACCUAACGGCUUCAGGCAACAUAACACUGAUGAACUUAGGGCCAGGAGACAGGGUUCCGUUUAGCUCAGUCCUUUAUUUCCAGAGUCUUUUGUGAGGCUGCAAACACAUUGUUAGGUGGGCCUUGGGUCGCAUCUGCACUCAUGGCCACCCUGCCCUUUUAGUUCUUUUGUCAUAAGGUACAGACUUGAGUCGUGCGCUUCUGGUUUUUUUCAGUUCUGUGGCUGCCUUUCUGCCCUGUGUUACUGAGGGUUGGAAUUCUACAAAAGUAAUGUCUAGACUCCUUUGCCAGUGGACUUGCAGGCAGCUUCCAAUAACUGGAAGACCUCGUGGGUACUGGGCAGGUGAAAGUAAGGUAGAAGACAUUUUUCCUUUUCUGUUUCUGGUGGCAUUGUAAUCAGCACUGGGAAGCUCCAGGUUCCAGUGACUUGUGUGAUUGAGAAAGGCUUCUGGAAUGUUCAGUCAUGGCCAGUUCCAACCCUGUCAGAUGUUCCAGGCUUGCCAGUGGUAGGUGGAUUCUGGACUCUGGCGACCUGCCUUCUGCUCUGUAGCUCAAGCCCAGGGGUGUCUGUGACUUUCUGCCAUUAGUCACUAAUCUCUGGGUGACCUCACGUCGCAGGCUGGGUUCUCUGGAAGCUGACACUAGGUGUAGUUUGGCAGGCUAGAGUGCUAUUAAAACUGCACGUCUGUGAGAGGCAACGGGACUGGGCAAACGAGACACGGAGCACUAUUUACUGCCUUGGCUGAACAUGAAUGAACACAGAAGGCACAGAGCCACCUCUGACAUGAGAAGAUCUUGGGCCAUUCAUCAUAAAAAGAGCGCAGAGAGAAGAUCAAGAAGGGAAUCCAACUUAGCAAGGCUCAGCAUGACCACGGGGAAGAGCAAGCCUCAGCCGCCUGCGUUCCAGCUGUGCGUGACGACUGCCUGAGACAGGUCUCUCAGAGGCGGACAGAGACGGGCGCACCAUCCGAGAGGGGCCUGGCAGGACGACGUGCCAUUUAACAGGAGGGGAAGCCCCAUGCCAUUCCACAAGAGAAGUAGAGAAUCAAGCCACAAAUGCAAAACCAAAAAGCUAUAUUGGCCAAGCACAAGAGUCACGUUUGGCUGGACUUUGAAGGUAAAAAAACAAACAGACAAGCAAAACCAAACCAAACAAAAAACCACCGCAAACUAAAGCAAGCCACUAAUCAAAAAGGCGGGCAGAUAUGUAAAGCCAGUGGAGCGAGUCCUGCUGCGUUAACUGGGCAAAGCAGCUGGCUUGAGUUUGAGGGAAGCUUAUCUAUUCUGAGAUCACACUACAAUUGCUUUCAGCAGAUCUUACAAAAAAAAAUACAAGGGAAGGAUAAAAUCCCCAGAUUCUGAUAAUAAUUAGAUCUCUCUACGUGUACCUACAUACACAUGUGAGUGUGUAUCUAUAUAUAUAUGUUUGUCUCUGUAUGUGUGUGUGUGUGUAAAAUGUAUGUAUGUUUGCCUCUCUCCUGUCCUAAUUCAUGCUUUCAUGGUCUCUUUCUCGCACUGGGUCCUCCUCUCCUAUCAUCCUUGGCUACUAGGCAGGGCCACGGGGUCGUGUGUCCUCUUGAGGGUGUUGUCCUCUGAUGGAGAAGUGAGUAGCAAUCACCGCGUCCAGAAAGAAAAGCCCUCUUCAGAGGCAGGAACUACAUCUCCCCCCUGUGAUAUCACACCGAGGGCUAGAAUCAGGUUGAGUGCCUGGGGAAGGGGAGCCAUGUCAUUUCAAAGCAGUUAGCAGACACCAACGGAUCCAUCUGGCCUGGUGAGGGAAGCGGCUUCCUGUUAGGAAGGUGUAGCUGGGCUCCCAGCCCCUUAGCGCACACGGUGCUUCUCUCUGUGCGAGGGGGUUCAGGUGGGAAGGAGGGCAGCACAGAGCCGAGCUGCCCGCUGUACGAAUUCGGCAUUCCUUGCGCAAGUCCCCUGUUUUAGAAAGCUGCCUUCUUAUCAGAGUCCAAAUCGAAGACACGCCUCCUAUUUGAGGCUGGACCCGAACAGAGAUCACGUUUCCACCCGCUUCCUCCGGUUAACAGAAAUCUGGCAGCCAGGCAGGAGUCUCUAUGCUGAGAUUAGCAAAAAAAAAAAAGUCAGCCCGAAGCUCUGCUAAACGCCGGAUGAAGAUGGUGACGGACAGAUGACGCGAGGUGGCAGGUAGGCCAAUGGUCUGUUCCUGCAAAAGAAAGCGGUCUGCAGCAGACUGACCUCUGAGGGCCUGAGAGAAAGCAACUGUUGAGAUUAAGAUUGAGGUGACCUUGUGCGCAGGUCUGUCCCUGCAUACGCAAAGGAAGAAGAGGCUGGAAAAAAUAGUGCAUGGGAGCAUACACUAAGCUAGCAGAUGACAGUAAUCCAGUCAUUGCAAUAAGCUCUCUCCAGAAGGCAUCACAUUCUUAGGGGAAAGACGGGUCCCAUUUGUUUUUAGAUUUAUUUAUUUUAUAAUACGUGUAUGGGUGUUUGGCCUGCGUGUAUGUAUGGACACCGUGUGCAUGCCUGGUGCCCAUGAAGGUUAAAAGGGAGAUCAGAUCCCCUGGAACCGGAAUUACAAAUGGUUAUGAGCCGUCAAGAGACGGGUAGGAAUAGUGAGGGCUGUAUUCCAGGCACUAGGGAAGGUUUGGUCAGCAAGAGACUUAACAACAACAACAAAAUUACAGUAUCAGACUCUGAAACCUGGACAAUGAAAUGACAAAUGUGUAUGGGCUGGCGUGUGUCAGGAGGAUUCUAGGCGUCACACAAAGAAGCAGGCUGCGCAGCGAUGACUUUAAAGGCAAAGAGGAAGGGCCCCCAAAAAUGCUGGAUAAACAACAUAAAGGAAGACUGUGGACCAUGUGUAUGAUGAUAACCAAGCAUCUAGGACUUCCUAGGACAGAAACAACUGGAGAACCACCAGAAACUGGCUGCCCAUGCAUGCUUCAGCAUUGCUGGGGCAUAGAUGAUGAAAUCAUGAGCCACUGUGUGGGUGCUGAGAACUGAGCCCAGGUCCCCUGCAAGAACAAGUGCUCUUAACUUUACCGAGCCAUCUCAGAAGCCCCCAAAUGGGCUGUGUUUUCCAACGAUUCUGUUUUGUGAGUUCUCCACGCAACCUUUGAUUAUAGAAGACCGCUGGGAUCUUCUGAAUUUCUGUGGAUCUGCAUCUUUCCAGACUCCUACCUUGGCGAAAAGGCGGGAGUAGCCACCUUUGGUUGUUCUUAAGGCUGAGAUCCCAGUGUUGGCCAGGCGCCUCACAUCCGCAUCGGGGAGAGCUUAGUCAUCUAACUGCCCAAUAAGCACCAACUGGGUCAAGAUGUCAAGUUCUACGAGGAUGUCUUGAGGGUACAACUGUGUUUUCUCUUUCCUUUAGUAUUACGCAAUUGCAAAGCUGGGAUUGCCCGUGGUAGCCAUCUGAAUUAUCUUGUUCAUCCCAUAAAAAAGGAAUCCUCGCAGAGUGAUGGUUCUUCGGAAGCGACCCAGUCAUGGCUUAGUACACGUUUCUCUGCAAUGUGUUCCUGGUCCUCUAUUCAGGAUGUGUGAAGAAAAUGCUCCAAGCUCCAAGUUCCUUUCCUUCUAGCAAUCAAAUAAAUCUAAGCUUAAAUAAACUUGUUUCCUGACUACA
Long non-coding RNA from Alexandromys fortis (reed vole), 3760 nucleotides. RefSeq lists it as uncharacterized. NCBI's taxonomy places the organism in Eukaryota, Metazoa, Chordata, Mammalia, Rodentia, Cricetidae. The transcript is spliced from 4 exons. The record is from RefSeq and is a predicted model, not a curated record.